UGACCUCCUGGGAAGUCCUC
This 20-nucleotide small nuclear RNA is filed under the name Arabidopsis thaliana (thale cress). RNAcentral describes it as "snRNA_03899". Lineage: Eukaryota; Viridiplantae; Streptophyta; Magnoliopsida; Brassicales; Brassicaceae. The record is from RNAcentral.